RNAcentral lists this ribosomal RNA (229 nucleotides) under uncultured bacterium. RNAcentral's name for it is "partial 16S ribosomal RNA". It matches the Rfam family "Bacterial small subunit ribosomal RNA", at positions 568 to 796 of the family's 1533-position model. The record is from RNAcentral.
UGCGCAGGUGGGGAAGUAAGUCAGUGGUGAAAGGCUGCCGCUUAACGGUAGGACUGCCAUUGAUACUGCUUUUCUUGAGUAUGGUUGAGGUAGGCGGAAUGUGUUGUGUAGCGGUGAAAUGCAUAGAUAUGACACAGAACACCGAUUGCGAAGGCAGCUUACUAAGCCGUUACUGACGCUGAGGCACGAAAGCGUGGGUAGCGAACAGGAUUAGAUACCCUGGUAGUCC